CAGCCGCCACGGUAAUACGGAGGGAGCUAGCGUUGUUCGGAAUUACUGGGCGUAAAGCGCGCGUAGGCGGUUGCUCAAGUCAGAGGUGAAAGCCCGGGGCUCAACCCCGGAACUGCCUUUGAAACUAGGUAACUAGAAUCUUGGAGAGAUCAGUGGAAUUCCGAGUGUAGAGGUGAAAUUCGUAGAUAUUCGGAAGAACACCAGUGGCGAAGGCGACUGACUGGACAAGUAUUGACGCUGAGGUGCGAAAGCGUGGGGAGCAAACAGGAUUAGAUACCCCGGUAGUCCCUGUCUCUUAUAC
This 301-nucleotide ribosomal RNA is filed under the name uncultured bacterium. Its description in RNAcentral is "partial 16S ribosomal RNA". It matches the Rfam family "Bacterial small subunit ribosomal RNA", at positions 509 to 807 of the family's 1533-position model. The record is from RNAcentral.